RNAcentral lists this transfer RNA (70 nucleotides) under Podarcis lilfordi (Lilford's wall lizard). RNAcentral's name for it is "tRNA.Leu". It matches the Rfam family "tRNA". Rfam says of the family: Transfer RNA (tRNA) molecules are approximately 80 nucleotides in length. Their secondary structure includes four short double-helical elements and three loops (D, anti-codon, and T loops). Lineage: Eukaryota; Metazoa; Chordata; Lepidosauria; Squamata; Lacertidae. The record is from RNAcentral.
GCCCCCAGCUCAGUCAGUAGACAUGAGACUCUUAAUCUCGCGGCCAUGGGUUCAAACCCCACACUGGGCA